CUAGCCAUAAAAUAAAGAACCAAAAAGCGUAUGGCAAAUCUAAAGAAGUUUGGGGCAACAGCGCAAAAAGAUAAACUAUAAAAAUGAAAGAAAUCAAAGAUAAAUGGAUGAACAAAAAAUCUUAAGCUCGUCCAAAGUGUUUCCUCAUAUACGGCAAACUAACCAAAGGGUGAGUUGUUGACAUGCUUAUUGACCUCGGAAAGUCUAAUAUCGUAAGUCAGAGAGAUCCCAUACCAGAUCCAGAUUCGAUUCAAGUCAUCUAGGUUCAGCAUGGAGCGAUAGCCGCCAGGACCUAACUCACUCUUCUCGGCCAUUUUCAAAAAAAAAAGACUGAAAGGAUAUCUAAAGAAAGAAGUGAAGAAUGAAAAAUAGAUGGGCGAAAAAGAAAACCUACCUUGGAGCAAAGAAAGGAGAUGGAAGGAACAAAACAAUCACCAGAAAACCUUCGAAAAUCUUUCGGAAAAGGUUGUGUCAUGGAAGAAGAAGAAGCACCCUUGCUUCAAAAAGCUAUCGUAAUGGAGAAGAGAAAGAAGAAAUAGAAGACUCUGAUAGUAAUUAGAGAAACCAAGGAUAAGUCCUUCUUCUAUUUAUAGCCAGG
RNAcentral lists this long non-coding RNA (598 nucleotides) under Elaeis guineensis (African oil palm). RNAcentral describes it as "long non-coding RNA (EGUI_LNC007755)". The record is from RNAcentral. Lineage: Eukaryota; Viridiplantae; Streptophyta; Magnoliopsida; Arecales; Arecaceae.